RNAcentral lists this ribosomal RNA (511 nucleotides) under uncultured bacterium. Its description in RNAcentral is "bacterial SSU rRNA". It matches the Rfam family "Bacterial small subunit ribosomal RNA", at positions 94 to 640 of the family's 1533-position model. The record is from RNAcentral.
AGCGGCGAACGGGUGAGUAACACGUUGGUACCUGCCCCUAAGUCAGGGAUAGCCCAGGGAAACCUGGAUUAAUACCGGAUAGUCUCUUCGGAGUAAAAAUUUAUUGCUUAGGGAGGGGCCUGCGUUCUAUCAGCUUGUUGGUAGUGUAAAAGACUACCAAGGCUAUGACGGAUAACUGGUCUGAGAGGAUGAUCAGUCACAAUGGAACUGAGACACGGUCCAUACUCCUACGGGAGGCAGCAGUGAGGAAUCUUCCACAAUGGGCGAAAGCCUGAUGGAGCGACGCCGCGUGAAGGAUGACGGUCUAACGACUGUAAACUUCUUUUCUGAGGGAGCAUAAUGAGAGUACCUCAGGAAUAAGGGACGGCUAAUCACGUGCCAGCAGCCGCGGUAAUACGUGAGUCCCAAGCGUUACUCGGAAUUACUGGGCGUAAAGCGUUUGUAGGUGGGUCAUUAAGUCAGAUAUGAAAGACCGGAGCUCAACUCCGUGUUUGUAUUUGAAACUGGUGAC